Molecule: ribosomal RNA, 240 nt
Filed under: uncultured bacterium
Lineage: Bacteria
Description: partial 16S ribosomal RNA
Rfam family: Bacterial small subunit ribosomal RNA
Source: RNAcentral
GAUCCUGGCUCAGGACGAACGCUGGCGGCGCGCCUAACACAUGCAAGUCGAGCGAUGAAAUUUCAACAGAACUCUUCGGAGUGACGAUGAAAUGGAUUAGCGGCGGACGGGUGAGUAACACGUGAGAAACCUGCCUUUCACAAGGGGAUAGCCUCGGGAAACCGGGAUUAAUACCCUAUGACACACUUCCUUCGCAUGGAGGAGAUGUUAAAACUCCGGUGGUGAAAGAUGGUCUCGCGU